AGCGGAGCAUGUGGUUUAAUUCGAAGCGACGCGAAGAACCUUACCAGAUCUUGACAUCCAAUUGACCAUCUUUUAAUCGAGAUUUUGCCUUCGGUACGAAUUGAGACAGGUGGUGCAUGGUUGUCGUCAGCUCGUGUCGUGAGAUGUUGGGUUAAGUCCCGCAACGAGCGCAACCUUGUGUUUAGUUGCAAACAGGUCAAGCUGUGCACUCUAGACAGACUGCCGUGGACAACACGGAGGAAGGUGGGGAUGACGUCAAAUCAUCAUGCCCCUUAUGAUCUGGGCUACACACGUGCUACAAUGGCCGGUACAACGGGCAGCGAAGGAGCGAUCCGGAGCGAAUCCUAAAAAGCCGGUCCCAGUUCGGAUUGCAGGCUGAAACUCGCCUACAUGAAGUUGGAGUUGCUAGUAAUCGCGAAUCAGAAUGUCGCGGUGAAUGCGUUCCCGGGUCUU
RNAcentral lists this ribosomal RNA (453 nucleotides) under uncultured Fusibacter sp. RNAcentral describes it as "bacterial SSU rRNA". It matches the Rfam family "Bacterial small subunit ribosomal RNA", at positions 931 to 1382 of the family's 1533-position model. The record is from RNAcentral. Lineage: Bacteria; Bacillati; Bacillota; Clostridia; Eubacteriales; Fusibacteraceae.